GGAAGCGUGCCUGAAACAUAAGGACUACUUUGAUAAAGCAGACAUGGAACCAUAAACUCCCACUUCC
This 67-nucleotide transfer RNA is filed under the name Pogona minor. RNAcentral describes it as "tRNA-Ile". Lineage: Eukaryota; Metazoa; Chordata; Lepidosauria; Squamata; Agamidae. The record is from RNAcentral.